GUUGGGUGUUUGGGGCUUUCUAGGGCCCUAGAUCAAGGAGAAAAAAAAGAGAAGAAAAGAGAAAAAUGAUUCUUCUCUUGGGUCACUCUUUUGGAUUCUUCUAGGAUUUAGGAUUUCAUAUUAUUUCCUGCAUGAGAAAUCAGAUUAGAUCUAAUUUUUAUCAUGAAAAAUUAGAAAAGAAAAGUUCUUCUUGAUGACGCAAAAAGGAAGAG
RNAcentral lists this long non-coding RNA (212 nucleotides) under Elaeis guineensis (African oil palm). RNAcentral describes it as "long non-coding RNA (EGUI_LNC078125)". The record is from RNAcentral. Lineage: Eukaryota; Viridiplantae; Streptophyta; Magnoliopsida; Arecales; Arecaceae.